This 2262-nucleotide long non-coding RNA is filed under the name Gossypium barbadense (sea-island cotton). RNAcentral's name for it is "long non-coding RNA (GBAR_LNC002363)". Lineage: Eukaryota; Viridiplantae; Streptophyta; Magnoliopsida; Malvales; Malvaceae. The record is from RNAcentral.
GGGAAUAUUGAAUUAAUUAGCAUAAUAAAUAAGGAAUAAAAGUAAAAAAAAAAACCCUUCAACAACAUUUUCCUUUCAUUUUUCUCAAAAACCAUUUGAAAAGCUCUCCAAAUUCUCUCACCCCAUCCAAUUCUUCAGCAACCGGACCAGAGCUUCGUCCCCGUCUGUCGUUUUGCCGCCGUCGUUGGCCACCACGUGCAGUGGCCGAAGUUAAAAAAGUAAGUUUUUUUGUAUUUUUAUUCUUUUUAACAGAUAUACAUAGUAAAGAGUGGUCAGAUCCAAAAAAGAAAUGAAAAAAAGAAGAAAAAAGAAAAGAAUCAAAACAACAACCUUGGUAACUUUAGAUUCUACAAAAUUGCCUUGUAUGUUUGCUGUCUUCCCGAUUUGUGUGACCGUCUGAGUUCGAUCUCUGCUUUUAUUUGUUUUGGGUAUUUAAAAUCUUGGUAUUUGGUGUUAAAUCUUGUGUUUAUAUUGAAUCCAUCUUUUUUUUGCCUUGUUACAAUCUUUGGCUUUUAUAGCCUUUAUUUUUACAGGUACAAAAAUGAAAUUAUGGCGAACGUGGAGCCAUUGGAGCUGACAUGGGCGAGAGGCGACAUGGGGGAAACCGACGUGGGUGCGCGAACAUGGAGGACGUGCGUGGGAAGGCUUGCGGCGGAUGCAACAGAAAAGGGUGUUAGGGUUUUUCUCUUCUUUUUGAUUUAAGGUUAAAUAUUUAGGUCUAGGGUUAAUUUAGGGCUUGAGUAAUUUGAGCUUCAAAAUUGGGUUAAUUUUAUUUUGUUUUUGAUUUGAUUUUGAGUCUAUUUUUAGUCUUUGGGGUUUGUUUUUGGUUUAAAAAUUUGGGCUUUUAUGGUAAAUAGGCCCGGGCAAAAAUUUGUACCCACAAAGAUAAUAAUAAUAAUAAUAAUAAUAAUAAUAGUAAUAAUAUGUAUUAAAUGGUAAAAGAAUAAUAGUAACAAUAAUUUUUUUUAAAAAUGAUAAUAGUAAUAAAAAUAAAAAUAAUAGUAGUGAUAAUAAUAAUAAUAAUAAUAAUAAUAAUAAAUAGUAAUAAUAAUACAUUAAUAAUAAUAUGUUUAUAACAAUAAAUUAAUGAAUUAAUAACAUAACAGUAAGUAAAUAAACAUAAAAAUAAAAUAAUUAUAAUAGUAAUAUUAACAAAAUAAUAAUAAUAAUAAUAAUAAUAAUAAUAAUAAAAUGAUAACAAUGAUAUUAAUAAAAUAAUAGAAAAUAAUAAUACAUUAAUAAUAAUAUAUGUUAAUAACAAUAAUAAUAUAUAAAAUAAUAAUAUGGUAAAAAAUAAUAAUAAUGUAUUAAUAAGAAUGAUAAUAAUAAAAUAAGAUUAUAAUAAUAGUAUUAAUAAAAAUAGACAUAAAAAGAUAGUAAUAAUGGUAACAAUAAGAGCGUUAAUAAUAAUAAUAUUGAGAUACAAAAAAGUAAAUAUAAUAAAAUAUUAAAAUAAAGUAAUAAAAAAUAAUACUAUAUAUAAAUAUAUAUACAUAUACGUAUAUAAUAAAAAGUAUACACUAAUAUAUAAUAAUAAUAAUAACAAUAAUAAUAAUAAUAAUAAUAGUAAUAUUGAAAUACAAAAAGCAAAUAUAAUAAAAAUAUUAAAAUAAAGUAAUAAAAAAUAAUACUAUAUACAAAAUAUAUAUGCAUAUACGUAUAUAAUAAAAAGUAUACACUAAUAUAUAAUAAUAAUAUUUAAUAAAGAAACAAAAAUAAACAAGAAAUGACUAAAAUUGAACUAAAAAUAGAGUUUUGGGGCAAAUUUAAAAGAAAUAAAGGGAAAAGGAUCAAAAUGCAAUACGCGCGUAAUCUGGAAGGACCGAAACAAAAAUUAUUCUUUCCCCUCAAAACGCAGCGCGGCAUGGGGGACCGAAUUGCAGAGCAUAACGAAUUUCGGGACCAAAUUAAAAUAAAUAGAAACUUGAUUGCAGAACAGAAAAAAGCGGAAGAGCCUAAUGCGCAAAUAGACCAUUAAGUAAAAAACACGUGGAUCCUGAGGCGGGUUCGGGUCGGACGAAUCGGGUCAUGGGUUAAGGGCCAAAACGACGUCGUUUUGGGGCUUAUGGACGCCGGCUAAAACGACGUCGUUUUGCAUGGUCUAUAUAAGUUAAAAAAUGAGAAAAGAAAAUCAUUUGUAAUCAAUUUUUUGAAAAAAAAGUUUCUUUCUUUUGUUUUCUCUCUGUAGGUACUUGCUCUGGCGAGGGCCCUGGCCACUCCCCGCCAUCGGCCACCGCGUACGGUGGCCGAAAAUCUAAAAAG